CUUAAGUGGGGAAUAACGCAUCGAAAGGUGUGCUAAUACCGCAUAAUCUCUGAGGAGAAAAGCAGGGGAUCGUAAGAUCUUGCGCUUUUAGAGCGGCCGAUGUCUGAUUAGCUUGUUGGUGAGGUAAAGGCUUACCAAGGCUUCGAUCAGUAGCUGGUCUGAGAGGACGACCAGCCACACUGGGACUGAGACACGGCCCAGACUCCUACGGGAGGCAGCAGUGGGGAAUUUUGGACAAUGGGGGCAACCCUGAUCCAGCCAUGCCGCGUGAGUGAAGAAGGCCUUCGGGUUGUAAAGCUCUUUCAGCCGGAACGAAACGGUUACGGUUAAUACCCGUGACUACUGACGGUACCGGAAGAAGAAGCACCGGCUAACUACGUGCCAGCAGCCGCGGUAAUACGUAGGGUGCGAGCGUUAAUCGGAAUUACUGGGCGUAAAGCGUGCGCAGGUGGUUUUGUAAGUCAGAUGUGAAAUCCCCGGGCUUAACCUGGGAACUGCGUUUGAAACUACAAGGCUAGAGUGUGGCAGAGGGGGGUGGAAUUCCGCGUGUAGCAGUGAAAUGCGUAGAGAUGUGGAGGAACACCGAUGGCGAAGGCAGCCCCCUGGGUCAACACUGACGCUCAGGCACGAAAGCAUGGGGAGCAAACAGGAUUAGAUACCCUGGUAGUCCAUGCCCUAAACGAUGUCAACUAGUUGUCGGGCCUUAACGGGCUUGGUAACGUAGCUAACGCGUGAAGUUGACCGCCUGGGGAGUACGAUCGCAAGAUUAAAACUCAAAGGAAUUGACGGGGACCCGCACAAGCGGUGGAUUAUGUGGAUUAAUUCGAUGCAACGCGAAAAACCUUACCUACCCUUGACAUGUAUCGAAGCUCGCAGAGAAGUGAGUGUGUCUGAAAGGGAACGAUAACACAGGUGCUGCAUGGCUGACGUCAGCUCGUGUCGUGAGAUGUUGGGUUAAGUCCCGCAACGAGCGCAAGCCUUGUCAUUAAUUGCCAUCAUUUAGUUGGGCACUUUAAUGAGACUGCCGGUGACAAACCGGAGGAAGGUGGGGAUGACGUCAAGUCCUCAUGGCCCUUAUGGGUAGGGCUUCACACGUAA
RNAcentral lists this ribosomal RNA (1098 nucleotides) under uncultured ammonia-oxidizing bacterium. RNAcentral describes it as "bacterial SSU rRNA". It matches the Rfam family "Bacterial small subunit ribosomal RNA", at positions 130 to 1225 of the family's 1533-position model. The record is from RNAcentral.